Molecule: long non-coding RNA, 311 nt
Filed under: Elaeis guineensis (African oil palm)
Lineage: Eukaryota; Viridiplantae; Streptophyta; Magnoliopsida; Arecales; Arecaceae
Description: long non-coding RNA (EGUI_LNC011142)
Source: RNAcentral
CUCCUACUGUCUCAAUAGGGAGUGGUGGGUAGACAGUCUGUAUUGGAGCAACCCCAGGUCAUGCUCCUGGAGGCCCUCCGUCUUGUCCUCUCUCAUCUGCAGCUCCGAGAUGUCCGCCUCCACCUCCUCAAUUUGUUUGACAAUAUUGCCUACCUCCAUAUGACUCCAUCGAAUGAGCCUGCACCAUGCCAACUCCAACCUCUUGGUCACCCGAUAUCUUGCAUUAUCUUGCAUCACCCUGACAUCCUCCACACGUUCCUGAUCAAGUCCCAAGCUCUCAUGUAAAAGGUCCAGAUCUUCUUGAACCUGAA